Camelus dromedarius (Arabian camel) is the source of this 793-nucleotide long non-coding RNA. RefSeq lists it as uncharacterized. Lineage: Eukaryota; Metazoa; Chordata; Mammalia; Artiodactyla; Camelidae. The record is from RefSeq and is a predicted model, not a curated record. The transcript is spliced from 3 exons.
GUAUAAGCUAAUAUAUGGAUCAAGUGGUUCGUUAACUGGAAUAAAUACAUUAAUGAACGAGGUUAAUAUUAGGGAAAACUGGGGGGUUGGGGUGCAUAGGAGCUCUGUACUAACAGCUCAACUUUUUUAUAAAUCUAAAUAGCUCAAAAACUAAAGUCAAUUUUAAAAAAGACUCUAAAAAUCAAAGUCUACUAAUAAAAAAAUUCUUUAUAAUGCUAGGUGAGUAGACUUUACUAUCAGUUGAAGGCUUUAAGAGCAAAAAUAGAGAUUUCUUAAAGAAGUUCUGCUUCAAGACUAUUGCGUAGAAAUCCUGCGUGAAGUUUCCAGCCUACUGAGCCGGAUUUUGGACAGACUGCAGCAUCAACUCUUAAUUAAAUUUCCAGCCUGCGGAUUUUGGACUUGACAGACCCCACAAUCAUGAUCCUCUGCAAAGGAUGUUUAUAAAAGAUGGCAGCACAACUGGAAGAUGCCUUCGUGAAGUUCCAGGGCAGUGGACCUCAACAUGAUCGUUAAUGCCAGAACUUUACAAUGAAUUGUUCUCAUCUGUUUCCGUGACAGCCAUUGAAACAUUUGCAAGAAAAUACUUUAAGCGUUUCCUCAAGAAUGCUCCGCGGACGGUCAGUACCAGGAUCACCGAGUGCCUGUUGAAAGCGCCAAUUCAAACCAGGGCCUACUGAGUCUAAAUGAUUUACAAGCACCACAGGUGAGUCUAAUGUAAAUUGUCUAGAUACAGUCAAACUGAAAGUCUUCCAAAAUGGCUAGUCAGGCAACUCCCACUUCCGCGGAAGGUGAA